This is a non-coding RNA of Xyrichtys novacula (pearly razorfish), 631 nucleotides long. NCBI's taxonomy places the organism in Eukaryota, Metazoa, Chordata, Actinopteri, Labriformes, Labridae. The record is from the annotation of a GenBank genome assembly.
CGGAGCUUGGCAUCUUUCACUGCCAGCUCACCACGCUCCUCAGCCUCGGCGAUCUGAGCCUCAAGGUUGGCUCUCUGUUGAAAUUAAUAUCAGCAUUGUAUUCUCCGAACCACUUCAUACAAUGAAGCUUUAGUCAUUUGUUGUCAUUCAUUUACCUGUGACUUGACAGCCUCGAUCUCAUUCUGAAGACGGGCAAUCAUGCGGUUCAACUCAGCAAUCUCAGUUUUAGUUGUGCGCAGGUCAUCGCCGUAUUGUCCAGCAGAGCUCUGCAUCUCCUCAUACUGUUUUGAAAAACAUGACAGAUUGCGUUAACCUCAUGAUCCUAAAGGUCUGGUUGGAUUUUUCAAGUUUAUGCUGAUGACAUAAAGCAUGGUUGUCUUUAUUGUUUCACUCACCUUCUGUUUGUACCAGGUCUCUGCCUCAGCCCUGCUCUUGUUGGCGAUGUCUUCAUACUGAGCGCGCACCUCAGCCACGAUGGAAUCCAUGUCCAGGUUACGGCUGUUGUCCAUCUCCACAAUGACAGAGGUGUCCUUAAUCUGGCCUUGCAGCUCACGGAGUUCCUACAGAACAAACAAUUGUUGCACCAUUAAACCCAUUUUAUUGACAAGUUGUAUUAUAGUGUUAAACAGUG